UGAAACGUGUAAGCUAUUUGAUGAUGAUGUAAGUUUUAAUUCUCCUCUCUUAAGUUAUUCACAUGAAACUGCUUAAUACACACUUUGAAUUCAAGGAGUUGAUGAUAGUAACAAGGAAACAGCCUCUCUACCUCCACGAGGUAGUGGCAAGGUCUGCGUACAAUUUACCCUCCCCAGACCCCACCUAGUGGGAUCUCACUGGGCAUGUUGUUGUUGUUGUUGAUGAUAGUAACAAGGAAAUGCAGCUGUAAGUGAAAUAUGUAAUGUGCUGACCAACCUCUUCUCCACUUUUCAUGUUGCAGACAUCCAAAAGACAGUAUCACUGCAAUGGUUGUGGAAUAUGCAGGUAUUGUUACUUAGCUGAAAUUCCAAUGCCUUCCCCAUUCUCCAUAACAUUUUCUCUCUCUCUCAUUUCUGUUGAGCUUCUGAUAGAGCGAAAAACGUAACUAAAGAAAAGGAGAUAACACCUUUGCUAACAUCUUCCAUGCGUAAUAACAAAAAGACCUGCUCUGCAAUUCAAUACCAAUUCAUCUGAAAUGUUCCAUAUCAUACUUUGUGUAUACAUUUGAUGUUUAAACUCUGUAUUGAUUCUGAUGUUGGUGUUCUAUUUGUAUUAUUUUUAUGUUUC
This 628-nucleotide long non-coding RNA is filed under the name Solanum tuberosum (potato). RNAcentral's name for it is "long non-coding RNA (STUB_LNC008357)". The record is from RNAcentral. Lineage: Eukaryota; Viridiplantae; Streptophyta; Magnoliopsida; Solanales; Solanaceae.